UACACUCCUACGGGAGGCAGCAGUGGGGAAUAUUGCACAAUGGGCGCAAGCCUGAUGCAGCCAUGCCGCGUGUAUGAAGAAGGCCUUCGGGUUGUAAAGUACUUUCAGCGGGGAGGAAGGCGAUAAGGUUAAUAACCUUGUUGAUUGACGUUACCCGCAGAAGAAGCACCGGCUAACUCCGUGCCAGCAGCCGCGGUAAUACGGAGGGUGCAAGCGUUAAUCGGAAUUACUGGGCGUAAAGCGCACGCAGGCGGUCUGUCAAGUCGGAUGUGAAAUCCCCGGGCUCAACCUGGGAACUGCAUUCGAAACUGGCAGGCUAGAGUCUUGUAGAGGGGGGUAGAAUUCCAGGUGUAGCGGUGAAAUGCGUAGAGAUCUGGAGGAAUACCGGUGGCGAAGGCGGCCCCCUGGACAAAGACUGACGCUCAGGUGCGAAAGCGUGGGGAGCAAACAGGAUUAGAAACCCCAGUAGUCCCAUGA
Molecule: ribosomal RNA, 477 nt
Filed under: uncultured organism
Description: partial 16S ribosomal RNA
Rfam family: Bacterial small subunit ribosomal RNA
Source: RNAcentral